CGCGUAUUCCUGGGGUCCGUGUUGCUCUUUUUCAUAACAUUGCUGAAUUUUUUCAUGAUUUUAGGUUUAAGGAAACUCUUUGUGAAUGUAAGUCCUUUCUCCUAUUCAAUGUCCAAAUGAAAUUUCCAUAUCACCUGGAAGUGCCGUAUAUGUUUUCAACUAAUAGAACAGAAAGCAAAUAAUAUGUAUGUGGCCAAUGAAAGGACCAAAAAGGAAAAAAAAAAAAGUUUCUAGGAAGAGCAAACACUGGAAAGAGCAGUGAGAGAUGUUAUGCCUCACCAUCUACAGCCCCAGCUCUACCCCUUAAUAUCAUCUUAUUGUUGUCACUGAAAAAAGACUAACUGCAAAAUCUGACUUGUUGCCUAAAUUGUACUAUCUUUGUACAUUCAGAGAUUCUAUGUCUCUUAGAUUAUUUAAAAUUAAUGACUAUAUGUUACUUCACUGUCCUUUGUUGUGUAUAAUGUCACUAAACUUUGCUGUGUUUUAAACUUCCCAGAUCCCUUUUUAACAACGAUGUUGAGACUUCAAAAAACCUACAUCCCCUCUUCUUGUCGCCCAGGAUUCCUGUGAUUCCCAGCAGCACCACCCAGCUCCCAGGGGCUCUGUCAGGCGCUUCCGUGCUGUUUCAAAGGACCUAAGUUUGGUUUCCAAAAGCACCGACAUCUCUCCGCCCCUCCCAGUGCUCAGAAAAUGAGUUUCCAACCCCUUGGUUUGCUGGCUUUGGCCAGCGCCCAGGCUCUGUGGUGUGGAAGGGAGCCACGAGCUGGGGCGGAGGCGCUCUCCUCCCCGCCCACUGGAGUCGCUGGUCUGGAGGUGGUGUGGACGCUGCCCUCCCACGCCUCAGGGAGCCUCUGGCGUCGGGGCUGGAAGAUUGCAGGCUCUUCCCCUGGGCCUCACCUGAAAGAGCAGGUCUGAUCUCCCGGAGCAUAAUGAAGAUAACAGAGCUGGUGUUUGCUGCUUCAAACACCAGAAAUCUCACUGUGUGGUCUUAAACAAAAACUCAGAGGAAGGAGAGAAAGAAGACAAAAUGCUUUGAAUUUAAUGGAAGUUCAUGUACACAUCUCCAUGUGAUUAAUAAUAGGCAGUUUGUGAAUCAACAUCAUCUCCCACAAUUGUUUCAUUAUCUUCCAGGACCGCCUAAGCCUUUAUCAGACUCAAGCUGUCCCCUCACACAAGAAAGCUCCUUUUAAUGGUGGGGUCAGCUUUGAUGACUGGCUCUGCCUGGCCGGAGCGAUGGCAGUUGCUGACGUCCCUGCAUGAGAACACGUCAUCUCAGCAAUUUCUGCCAUUGGUCAGAGCUUCAGGUGCCUCUGGCAAUUUGAUGUUUGUCACUUCCAGGUAUUGGCCAAUUGUUCUCCAGAAUGGAUUCCUACUAGCAAGAAAAUAAGAGUUCCUGUUGCUACACAUUUUUCUCAACAUUCAGU
This is a long non-coding RNA of Myotis myotis, 1424 nucleotides long. RefSeq lists it as uncharacterized. Lineage: Eukaryota; Metazoa; Chordata; Mammalia; Chiroptera; Vespertilionidae. The record is from RefSeq and is a predicted model, not a curated record. The transcript is spliced from 4 exons.